AUACGUAGGGGGCAAGCGUUGUCCGGAAUGAUUGGGCGUAAAGGGCGCGUAGGCGGCCGCUUAAGUCUGGAGUGAAAGUCCUGUUUUCAAGGUGGGAAUAGCUUUGGAUACUGGAUGACUUGAGUGCGGAAGAGGUAAGUGGAAUUCCCAGUGUAGCGGUGAAAUGCGUAGAGAUUGGGAGGAACACCAGUGGCGAAGGCGACUUACUGGGCCGUAACUGACGCUGAGGCGCGAAAGCGUGGGGAGCGAACAGGAUUAGAUACCCUGGUAGUCCACGCGGUAAACGAUGAAUGCUAGGUGUUGCGGGUAUCGACCCCUGCAGUGCCGGAGUAAACACAAUAAGCAUUCCGCCUGGGGAGUACGGCCGCAAGGUUGAAACUCAAAGGAAUUGACGGGG
This 397-nucleotide ribosomal RNA is filed under the name uncultured bacterium. RNAcentral's name for it is "partial 16S ribosomal RNA". It matches the Rfam family "Bacterial small subunit ribosomal RNA", at positions 523 to 918 of the family's 1533-position model. The record is from RNAcentral.